UUCUUUGGUCAAUUUAGAGGAAGUAAAAGUCGUAACAAGGUUUCCGUAGGUGAACCUGCGGAAGGAUCAUUACUAGAGCAAAGGAUAGACAGCGCCCGCGGAGCUCGCUCCCGGGGCUACCCUACUCCCGUAGGGUUUAGAGUCGUCGGGCCUCUCGGAGAAGCUCGGUCCUGAACUCCACCCUUGAAUAAACUACCUUUGUUGCUUUGGCGGGCCGCCUCGUGCCAGCGGCUUCGGCUGUUGAGUGCCCGCCAGAGGACCCCAACUCUUGUUUUUAGUGAUGUCUGAGUACUAUAUAAUAGUUAAAACUUUCAACAACGGAUCUCUUGGUUCUGGCAUCGAUGAAGAACGCAGCGAAAUGCGAUAAGUAAUGUGAAUUGCAGAAUUCAGUGAAUCAUCGAAUCUUUGAACGCACAUUGCGCCCUCUGGUAUUCCGGGGGGCAUGCCUGUUCGAGCGUCAUUAUAACCACUCAAGCUCUCGCUUGGUAUUGGGGUUCGCGGUUUCGCGGCCCCUAAAAUCAGUGGCGGUGCCUGUCGGCUCUACGCGUAGUAAUACUCCUCGCGAUUGAGUCCGGUAGGUCUACUUGCCAGCAACCCCUAAUUUUUUUUAAGGUUGACCUCGGAUCAGGUAGGGAUACCCGCUGAACUUAAGCAUAUCAAUAAGCCGGAGGA
This 672-nucleotide ribosomal RNA is filed under the name uncultured fungus. Its description in RNAcentral is "eukaryotic LSU rRNA". The stretch from base 307 to 460 matches the Rfam family "5.8S ribosomal RNA". Lineage: Eukaryota; Fungi. The record is from RNAcentral.